This 250-nucleotide ribosomal RNA is filed under the name uncultured bacterium. RNAcentral's name for it is "partial 16S ribosomal RNA". It matches the Rfam family "Bacterial small subunit ribosomal RNA", at positions 87 to 339 of the family's 1533-position model. The record is from RNAcentral.
CCGGAACAGUGGCGAACGGGUGAGUAACACGUGGGCAAUCUGCCCCUAACUCUGGGAUAACUACUCGAAAGAGUAGCUAAUACCGGAUACGAAAUCUGAGGACAUCCUCGGAUUUGGAAAGUUUUUCGGUUAGGGAUGAGCCCGCGGCCUAUCAGCUAGUUGGUGAGGUAAUGGCUCACCAAGGCGACGACGGGUAGCCGGCCUGAGAGGGCGACCGGCCACACUGGGACUGAGACACGGCCCAGACUCC